RNAcentral lists this RNase P RNA (369 nucleotides) under Chitinophagaceae bacterium IBVUCB1. Its description in RNAcentral is "Bacterial RNase P class A". It matches the Rfam family "Bacterial RNase P class A". Rfam says of the family: Ribonuclease P (RNase P) is a ubiquitous endoribonuclease, found in archaea, bacteria and eukarya as well as chloroplasts and mitochondria. Its best characterised activity is the generation of mature 5'-ends of tRNAs by cleaving the 5'-leader elements of precursor-tRNAs. Cellular RNase Ps are ribonucleoproteins. The record is from Rfam by way of RNAcentral. Lineage: Bacteria; Pseudomonadati; Bacteroidota; Chitinophagia; Chitinophagales; Chitinophagaceae.
ACUACAAGCCGGGUUAUCGCUUUUGCACAGGCAAGAGAGGAAAGUCCGGACAGUAUAGAGCAGCGCACCACCUAACGGGUGGGGGCUUGCGAAAGCAGGCUACAGACAGUGCCACAGAAAAUAACCGCCUUUAGCAAUAAAGGUAAGGGUGAAAAUGUAGGGUAAGAGCCUACGCAUGGUAUUGGUAACAAUAUGAUGGGGUAAACCUUGCGCACUGAAAUGCCGAAUAGGCGUACAUUUGAGGGCUGCUCGUCCGAUAGUACGCGGGUUGGCAGCUACAGGUGAUGUGUGAGCAGCAUCGCAGAUAAAUGAUAGCCGUCCCGGGACCAUACGGGAUUACAGAAUCCGGCUUAUAGGUUUGUGGUUGUU